GGGUUGUGAGGUUAAGCGAAUAAGCGUACACGGUGGAUGCCUAGGCAGUCAGAGGCGAUGAAGGACGUGCUAAUCUGCGAUAAGCGCCGGUAAGGUGAUAUGAACCGUUAUAACCGGCGAUUUCCGAAUGGGGAAACCCAGUGUGAUUCGUCACACUAUCAUUACCUGAAUACAUAGGGUAAUGAAGCGAACCGGGAGAACUGAAACAUCUAAGUACCCCGAGGAAAAGAAAUCAAACGAGAUUCCCCCAGUAGCGGCGAGCGAACGGGGAGCAGCCCAGAACCUUAAUCACUAUCAGCAUCAGGAGAACAGUCUGGAAAGGCUGGCCGCAGCAGGUGAUAGCCCUGUAUCCGAAGGUGUUGGUAGUGUGAGUUCGAUGAGUAAGGCGGGACACGUGUUAUCCUGUCUGAAUACGGGGGGACCAUCCUCCAAGGCUAAAUACUCCUGACUGACCGAUAGUGAACCAGUACCGUGAGGGAAAGGCGAAAAGAACCCCGGCGAGGGGAGUGAAAAAGAACCUGAAACCGUGUACGUACAAGCAGUGGGAGCACCUUUAUGGUGUGACUGCGUACCUUUUGUAUAAUGGGUCAGCGACUUAUAUUCUGUAGCAAGGUUAACCGAAUAGGGGAGCCGCAGGGAAACCGAGUCUUAACUG
RNAcentral lists this ribosomal RNA (655 nucleotides) under Salmonella enterica subsp. enterica serovar Newport. RNAcentral's name for it is "partial 23S ribosomal RNA". It matches the Rfam family "Bacterial large subunit ribosomal RNA", at positions 1 to 690 of the family's 2925-position model. The record is from RNAcentral. Lineage: Bacteria; Pseudomonadati; Pseudomonadota; Gammaproteobacteria; Enterobacterales; Enterobacteriaceae.